This 580-nucleotide long non-coding RNA is filed under the name Elaeis guineensis (African oil palm). Its description in RNAcentral is "long non-coding RNA (EGUI_LNC021076)". The record is from RNAcentral. Lineage: Eukaryota; Viridiplantae; Streptophyta; Magnoliopsida; Arecales; Arecaceae.
GCCUUUAGUCUUAGGUUCUGUUCCUUGCUUUGACUCUCCCAUAAUUUAUGUGCAAUCACAGAAAAAUCAUGUAUUGUUUCAGUUGCUUUGUCUUCAGAAAUACUUUUAAUUGCAUGGAACCAAUCAUUAGAGAUGAUAUAUACAGCAGGAGCUCCAAUCCGGCCUGGGGAGAAAGGCGCAACCCCAUCAGGUGUUUGUUCCAGUUCUUCUGGGAGCCAUUUCAUUAACCAUCCAUUCUAUGCUUCAUUAUAAGCUUUCUGAGUGCUGAUCCAUUCCUUAAAACAAUGCAACCAGUUUAAGAGAUCCACCUCCAGUUCCUUGGUAGCCUUUGCAAUUGUUUGGCUUUGGUGCUUCCAGUCUUUGCUGCGAGACUCUGGCUUUUGCGAUCAACGAUGGCUUGUAACUGCUUCCGAUGACAAUCCAGCAAAGAUUUCCACAUUUUAACCAGUCUGCACACAAAAAGGAUGAUAAUGAAAGCUCGGCAUUCUAUUUCAAAUAUCUUGUCCUUAUAGUACGAGAUACAACAGUUAAGUAUAAUCAAUAAAAAAAGAUCAUCUAAAGAAGCACAAAAUGUCGAAUC